RNAcentral lists this ribosomal RNA (463 nucleotides) under uncultured Rhodocyclaceae bacterium. RNAcentral describes it as "bacterial SSU rRNA". It matches the Rfam family "Bacterial small subunit ribosomal RNA", at positions 921 to 1377 of the family's 1533-position model. Lineage: Bacteria; Pseudomonadati; Pseudomonadota; Betaproteobacteria; Rhodocyclales; Rhodocyclaceae. The record is from RNAcentral.
ACCGCACAAGCGGUGGAUGAUGUGGAUUAAUUCGAUGCAACGACGAAAACCUUACCUACCUUGACAUGUCCGGAAUCCCGAAGAGAUUUGGGAGUGCUCGCAAGAGAACCGGAACACAGGUGCUGCAUGGCUGUCGUCAGCUCGUGUCGUGAGAUGUUGGGUUAAGUCCCGCAACGAGCGCAACCCUUGUCAUUAGUUGCCAUCAUUUGGUUGGGCACUCUAAUGAGACUGCCGGUGACAAACCGGAGGAAGGUGGGGAUGACGUCAAGUCCUCAUGGCCCUUAUGGGUAGGGCUUCACACGUCAUACAAUGGUCGGUACAGAGGGUUGCCAACCCGCGAGGGGGAGCUAAUCCCACAAAGCCGAUCGUAGUCCGGAUCGCAGUCUGCAACUCGACUGCGUGAAGUCGGAAUCGCUAGUAAUCGUGGAUCAGCAUGUCACGGUGAAUACGUUCCCGGGUCCUU